GAGGGCACAGCUCAGUGGUAGAGUGUGUGCUUAGCAUGCACAAGGUUCUGAGUUCAAUUCCCAAUAUCUCCA
RNAcentral lists this transfer RNA (72 nucleotides) under Camelus bactrianus (Bactrian camel). It matches the Rfam family "tRNA". From Rfam's summary of the family: Transfer RNA (tRNA) molecules are approximately 80 nucleotides in length. Their secondary structure includes four short double-helical elements and three loops (D, anti-codon, and T loops). Further hydrogen bonds mediate the characteristic L-shaped molecular structure. tRNAs have two regions of fundamental functional importance: the anti-codon, which is responsible for specific mRNA codon recognition, and the 3' end, to which the tRNAs corresponding amino acid is attached (by aminoacyl-tRNA synthetases). tRNAs cope with the degeneracy of the genetic code in two manners: having more than one tRNA (with a specific anti-codon) for a particular amino acid; and 'wobble' base-pairing, i.e. permitting non-standard base-pairing at the 3rd anti-codon position. The record is from Rfam by way of RNAcentral. RNAcentral also lists the same sequence under 2 other names. Lineage: Eukaryota; Metazoa; Chordata; Mammalia; Artiodactyla; Camelidae.